AGCAUAUCAAUAAGCGGAGGAAAAGAAACUAACAAGGAUUCCCCUAGUAACUGCGAGUGAAGCGGGAAAAGCUCAAAUUUAAAAUCUGUCAGUCUUUGGCUGUCCGAAUUGUAAUCUAGAGAAGUGUUAUCCGCGCUGGACCGUGUACAAGUCUCCUGGAAUGGAGCGUCAUAGAGGGUGAGAAUCCCGUCUUUGACAUGGACUGCCAGGGCUUUGUGAUGCGCUCUCAAAGAGUCGAGUUGUUUGGGAAUGCAGCUCAAAAUGGGUGGUAAAUUCCAUCUAAAGCUAAAUAUUGGCGAGAGACCGAUAGCGAACAAGUACCGUGAGGGAAAGAUGAAAAGAACUUUGGAAAGAGAGUUAAACAGUACGUGAAAUUGCUGAAAGGGAAACGCUUGAAGUCAGUCGCGUUGUCCAGGGAUCAACCUUGCUUUUGCUUGGUGUACUUUCUGGUUGACGGGUCAGCAUCAAUUUUGACUGUUGGAAAAAGGUCAAGGGAAUGUGGCAUCUUUAGAUGUGUUAUAGCCCUUGGUUGCAUACAAUGGUUGGGAUUGAGGAACUCAGCACGCCGCAAGGCCGGGUAUUAACCACGUACGUGCUUAGGAUGCUGGCAUAAUGGCUUUAAUCGACCCGUCUUGAAACACGGACCAAGGAGUCUAACAUGCCUGCGAGUGUUUGGGUGGAAAACCCGAGCGCGUAAUGAAAGUGAAAGUUGAGAUCCCUGUCGUGGGGAGCAUCGACGCCCGGACCAGACCUUUUGUGACGGUUCCGCGGUAGAGCAUGUAUGUUGGGACCCGAAAGAUGGUGAACUAUGCCUGAAUAGGGUGAAGCCAGAGGAAACUCUGGUGGAGGCUCGUAGCGAUUCUGACGUGCAAAUCGAUCGUCAAAUUUGGGUAUAGGGGCGAAAGACUAAUCGAACCAUCUAGUAGCUGGUUCCUG
This 936-nucleotide ribosomal RNA is filed under the name Cortinarius sp. RNAcentral describes it as "partial large subunit ribosomal RNA". It matches the Rfam family "Eukaryotic large subunit ribosomal RNA", at positions 37 to 960 of the family's 3401-position model. The record is from RNAcentral. Lineage: Eukaryota; Fungi; Basidiomycota; Agaricomycetes; Agaricales; Cortinariaceae.